Molecule: ribosomal RNA, 440 nt
Filed under: uncultured bacterium
Lineage: Bacteria
Description: partial 16S ribosomal RNA
Rfam family: Bacterial small subunit ribosomal RNA
Source: RNAcentral
CCUACGGGAGGCAGCAGUAGGGAAUAUUGCUCAAUGGGGGAAACCCUGAAGCAGCCACGCCGCGUGGAGGAUGAAUGUUUUCGGAUUGUAAACUCCUUUUUUUAGAGAAGAUAAUGACGGUAUCUAACGAAUAAGCACCGGCUAACUCCGUGACAGCAGCCGCGGUAAUACGGCGGGUGCAAGCGUUACUCGGAAGCACUGGGCGUAAAGAGCGCGUAGGCGGGUUAGCAAGUCAGAUGUGAAAUCAUUGGGCUUAACCAUAGAACUGCAUUUGAAACUGUUAUUCUAGAGUACGGGGGAGGUAGGUGGAAUGCUUGGUGUAGCGGUGAAAUGCGUAGAGAUCAAGAGGAAUACUCAUUGCGAAGGCAGCCUGCUAGAACAUAACUGACGCUGAUGCGCGAAAGCGUGGGGAGCAAACAGGAUUAGAUACCCGGGUAGUC